This 427-nucleotide ribosomal RNA is filed under the name uncultured bacterium. RNAcentral's name for it is "partial 16S ribosomal RNA". It matches the Rfam family "Bacterial small subunit ribosomal RNA", at positions 355 to 774 of the family's 1533-position model. The record is from RNAcentral.
UGGGGAAUAUUGGACAAUGGGCGAAAGCCUGAUCCAGCCAUGCCGCGUGUGUGAAGAAGGUCUUCGGAUUGUAAAGCACUUUAAGUUGGGAGGAAGGGCAUUAACCUAAUACGUUAGUGUUUUGACGUUACCGACAGAAUAAGCACCGGCUAACUCUGUGCCAGCAGCCGCGGUAAUACAGAGGGUGCAAGCGUUAAUCGGAAUUACUGGGCGUAAAGCGCGCGUAGGUGGUUUGUUAAGUUGGAUGUGAAAUCCCCGGGCUCAACCUGGGAACUGCAUUCAAAACUGACUGACUAGAGUAUGGUAGAGGGUGGUGGAAUUUCCUGUGUAGCGGUGAAAUGCGUAGAUAUAGGAUGGAACACCAGUGGCGAAGGCGACCACCUGGACUAAUACUGACACUGAGGUGCGAAAGCGUGGGGAGCAAACA